AUUGAACGCUGGCGGCAUGCCUUACACAUGCAAGUCGAACGGCAGCACGGGCUUCGGUCUGGUGGCGAGUGGCGAACGGGUGAGUAAAGUAUCGGAACGUACCUUUCAGUGGGGGAUAACGUAGCGAAAGUUACGCUAAUACCGCAUAUUCUGUGAGCAGGAAAGCAGGGGAUCGCAAGACCUUGCGCUGAUUGAGCGGCCGAUAUCAGAUUAGCUAGUUGGUGGGGUAAAGGCCUACCAAGGCUACGAUCUGUAGCGGGUCUGAGAGGAUGAUCCGCCACACUGGAACUGAGACACGGUCCAGACUCCUACGGGAGGCAGCAGUGGGGAAUUUUGGACAAUGGGGGCGAACCCUACGAUCCACGCCACUGCCGCCGUG
RNAcentral lists this ribosomal RNA (379 nucleotides) under uncultured bacterium. RNAcentral's name for it is "bacterial SSU rRNA". It matches the Rfam family "Bacterial small subunit ribosomal RNA", at positions 30 to 403 of the family's 1533-position model. The record is from RNAcentral.